CCUACGGGUGGCAGCAGUCGGGAAUAUUGCGCAAUGGAGGAAACUCUGACGCAGUGACGCCGCGUGCAGGAAGAAGGUUUUCGGAUUGUAAACUGCUUUAGACAGGGAAGAAAAAAGACAGUACCUGUAGAAUAAGCUCCGGCUAACUACGUGCCAGCAGCCGCGGUAAUACGUAGGGAGCAAGCGUUAUCCGGAUUUACUGGGUGUAAAGGGAGCGUAGACGGCGAUGCAAGUCUGAAGUGAAAGGCGGGGGCCCAACCCCCGGACUGCUUUGGAAACUGUAUGGCUGGAGUGCAGGAGAGGUAAGUGGAAUUCCUAGUGUAGCGGUGAAAUGCGUAGAUAUUAGGAGGAACACCAGUGGCGAAGGCGGCUUACUGGACUGUAACUGACGUUGAGGCUCGAAAGCGUGGGGAGCAAACAGGAUUAGAUACCCUUGUAGUC
RNAcentral lists this ribosomal RNA (441 nucleotides) under uncultured bacterium. RNAcentral describes it as "partial 16S ribosomal RNA". It matches the Rfam family "Bacterial small subunit ribosomal RNA", at positions 338 to 795 of the family's 1533-position model. The record is from RNAcentral.